Molecule: ribosomal RNA, 253 nt
Filed under: uncultured bacterium
Lineage: Bacteria
Description: partial 16S ribosomal RNA
Rfam family: Bacterial small subunit ribosomal RNA
Source: RNAcentral
GACGAACCGAGCGAACGUUAUUCGGAAUCACUGGGCUUAAAGGGCGCGUAGGCGGACCGUCAAGUCAGGGGUGAAAGCCCGCGGCUCAACCGCGGAUGUGCCUUUGAUACUGGCGGCCUCGAGGGAGGUAGGGGCGUGCGGAACUUCCGGUGGAGCGGUGAAAUGCGUAGAUAUCGGAAGGAACACCGGUGGCGAAAGCGGCGCGCUGGACCUCUUCUGACGCUGAGGCGCGAAAGCGUGGGGAGCAAACAGG